RNAcentral lists this transfer RNA (68 nucleotides) under Rana zhenhaiensis. RNAcentral's name for it is "tRNA-His". It matches the Rfam family "tRNA". Rfam says of the family: Transfer RNA (tRNA) molecules are approximately 80 nucleotides in length. Their secondary structure includes four short double-helical elements and three loops (D, anti-codon, and T loops). Lineage: Eukaryota; Metazoa; Chordata; Amphibia; Anura; Ranidae. RNAcentral also lists the same sequence under 2 other names. The record is from RNAcentral.
GUGGACAUAGUUUAACAAAACACUAGAUUGUGAUUCUAGCAAUAAAGGUUAAAACCCUUUUGUACACC